AUGAACGCUGGCGGCGUGCUUAACACAUGCAAGUCGAACGAGAAGUGAAGACGGAAACCUUCGGGCGGAAGGCUUUAUUUCGAGUGGCGGACGGGUGAGUAACGCGUGGGUAACCUGCCUCAUACAGGGGGAUAACAGUUGGAAACGACUGUUAAUACCGCAUAAGACCACAGCACCGCAUGGUGCGGGGGUAAAAACUCCGGUGGUAUGAGAUGGACCCGCGUUCGAUUAGCCAGUUGGCGGGGUAACGGCCCACCAAAGCGACGAUCGAUAGCCGAUCUGAGAGGAUGACUGGCCACAUUGGGACUGAGACACGGCCCAAACUCCUACGGGAGGCAGCAGUGGGGAAUAUUGCACAAUGGGGGAAACCCUGAUGCAGCGACGCCGCGUGAGUGAAGAAGUAUUUCGGUAUGUAAAGCUCUAUCAGCAGGGAAGAAAAUGACGGUACCUGAGUAAGAAGCCCCGGCUAACUACGUG
This 477-nucleotide ribosomal RNA is filed under the name uncultured bacterium. RNAcentral's name for it is "partial 16S ribosomal RNA". It matches the Rfam family "Bacterial small subunit ribosomal RNA", at positions 29 to 507 of the family's 1533-position model. The record is from RNAcentral.